This is a long non-coding RNA of Alosa sapidissima (American shad), 891 nucleotides long. RefSeq lists it as uncharacterized. Lineage: Eukaryota; Metazoa; Chordata; Actinopteri; Clupeiformes; Clupeidae. The transcript is spliced from 3 exons. The record is from RefSeq and is a predicted model, not a curated record.
ACAUAACUUUCAAAAACAUUGCUUACAAUGACAUAACAUUCUAAAAAUAUUGCUGUAAUAUAAAAACAUUCAACUUUACACUUUGAAACUGACUAUCAUACUUUAUUUGAGCACAAACAACUCCUUGACAGUUUAAGAGCAUAGGCUGCUCUUCAUUUGACAUGCAUGAGUAAAGGAAGCAUUGGAAUUCAAGGCAAUUAAGAGAUUCCCCAAGUGUUCUGUAAUGAUCAGUUCAGCACAGCUGCGUGUCUUGCCCUUAGAAAUGUGCGUGAAUCAUUUUACACUUGCUGUCGUCCAACACCCAGGCCAAGCACUCCACUCACUGAGGUCAUAUUACACCAGUGGUGCGAUGCUGUUGGAUUAUCAAUAGACAGCAAUUGUUUGAAUAUCCCUUGCAUAAUUUUUUCCCAGAUAUACUGUCAUAGAAUACAUACUGUGGACCACAGGUAUGGUUGUUACAAGGGCUGAACCCUUUGUUGCAAAUAAAAAGUGGAUAUUGGUGUCACUAAGUAUAUGAUCAGAACUUGAUAUAUAGAGAAAUGUAAAGUUAGAAUGUUUACAAUGAUAAAGUUGUUCCCAGAAUUUACAUUCAUGCAUGUGUUUGGUGUUCUAAAGCUACAGUAACUGCACUAUUUACAACAUGGUUUUAUGUAUCUAUAAUAGUAUAUAGUAUCUAACAGUAUAACAGUCACUAACAUGCAUUAAAUCCUGUUUAGGUAAAAUGUAAGAAUAAAAGAAGUUUAACAGCUGCCAAAUCAUUAAAGCAGGAUAUACUAGACAUAAGCAUUGCAAUAAACUCCCUUGCAGCAUGGCAACAAUAAUGUCAAUUAUUUGUAGCUCAGACUUCAAUAAUCUGCAAAUCUCUUAAACUCAUAUUUAAUUGCAAAAAGG